RNAcentral lists this ribosomal RNA (426 nucleotides) under uncultured bacterium. RNAcentral's name for it is "bacterial SSU rRNA". It matches the Rfam family "Bacterial small subunit ribosomal RNA", at positions 354 to 796 of the family's 1533-position model. The record is from RNAcentral.
GUGAGGAAUUUUCCGCAAUGGGCGAAAGCCUGACGGAGCAAUGCCGCGUGAAGGAUGAUGGCCUAUGGGUUGUAAACUUCUUUUCUCAGAAAAGAAUUAUGACGGUAUCUGAGGAAUAAGCAUCGGCUAACUCUGUGCCAGCAGCCGCGGUAAGACAGAGGAUGCAAGCGUUAUCCGGAAUGAUUGGGCGUAAAGCGUCUGUAGGUUGUUUAAAAAGUAUUCUGUCAAAGAUUAGGGCUUAACCCUAGAUAGGCAGAAUAAACUUUUAAGCUAGAGUUUGGUAGAGGCAGAGGGAAUUCCCGGUGGAGCGGUGAAAUGCGUAGAUAUCGGGAGGAACACCAAAGGCGAAGGCACUCUGCUGGGCCAAUACUAACACUGAGAGACGAAAGCGAGGGGAGCAAAUGGGAUUAGAUACCCGUGUAGUCC